UGACUAGCUAGCACUAGACAUGAGGUUCAAGUUCAAUUCUAGAGAUGAACAAGAUUUGAUCUAUGAUCCAAGGAGUUUAUGAGAGAUUAGAUUUAAGUGUUAAUUAAUUUUAAAUUAGAUUUAAUUUAAUUAAACUUAAUUGAAUUAAAAAAUUCAAGUUAGACUUGAUCCUAAAUCCUAAGCAGUUUAAGAUUGACAGCCUUUUUGAAAUUAUUUCGAAUCAGAUUUGAAUUAGAUUCAAAUUGACCCAUAUUUGGAUUAGAUCCUUAGAGUCCAUUUUUAUCGAAAAUCUCUCUAUUCAUGGCCGACCA
RNAcentral lists this long non-coding RNA (311 nucleotides) under Elaeis guineensis (African oil palm). Its description in RNAcentral is "long non-coding RNA (EGUI_LNC003171)". The record is from RNAcentral. Lineage: Eukaryota; Viridiplantae; Streptophyta; Magnoliopsida; Arecales; Arecaceae.